Molecule: ribosomal RNA, 450 nt
Filed under: uncultured Dechloromonas sp.
Lineage: Bacteria; Pseudomonadati; Pseudomonadota; Betaproteobacteria; Rhodocyclales; Azonexaceae
Description: bacterial SSU rRNA
Rfam family: Bacterial small subunit ribosomal RNA
Source: RNAcentral
GUGGGGAAUUUUGGACAAUGGGGGCAACCCUGAUCCAGCCAUGCCGCGUGAGUGAAGAAGGCCUUCGGGUUGUAAAGCUCUUUCAGCCGGGAAGAAAUCGCACAGGCUAAUACCUUGUGUGGAUGACGGUACCGGAAUAAGAAGCACCGGCUAACUACGUGCCAGCAGCCGCGGUAAUACGUAGGGUGCGAGCGUUAAUCGGAAUUACUGGGCGUAAAGCGUGCGCAGGCGGUUUUGUAAGACAGGCGUGAAAUCCCCGGGCUCAACCUGGGAACUGCGCUUGUGACUGCAAGGCUAGAGUACGGCAGAGGGGGGUGGAAUUCCACGUGUAGCAGUGAAAUGCGUAGAGAUGUGGAGGAACACCAAUGGCGAAGGCAGCCCCCUGGGUCGAUACUGACGCUCAUGCACGAAAGCGUGGGUAGCAAACAGGAUUAGAAACCCUGGUAGUCC